This 13789-nucleotide long non-coding RNA is filed under the name Lactuca sativa (garden lettuce). Its description in RNAcentral is "long non-coding RNA (LSAT_LNC005887)". The record is from RNAcentral. Lineage: Eukaryota; Viridiplantae; Streptophyta; Magnoliopsida; Asterales; Asteraceae.
CCAAAAGCUCCGAGGCUCCAGGGUGAGUGUGCAUCGGGAUAACCCCACCCACGGCUAGGUCCAACCUCGCAAUGGAUAUUCCGAGCCCAUUGACACCCGGAAACUGAGCAGUGAAUGCCGGAGUGACAGCAGCUUUGAUGAGGUUGGUGGUGUUUCCGGCUUUACCAAUCCCGGAGUAAACAAAAUCAGCUUCUGUUACUUUCUUGGGGUCUUUGCAUGGGAAGCCGGAAGGGGUAUCCGAUUGUUUCAAAUCGGCUACACAGAAGUCCUGAACUGAUGCAAACGAUGACACAAAGAGAAGAGAAAACAUAAGAAGACUAGGGAUCAACAUUUUGAUAGAAUGUUUGAUUUGGAGUAUGUAUGUUUUUGUGGGUGUUUGUAAUUGAGGUAGAAGAUGAGAGUUAUAUAGAAGGAGAUAGGAUAAUGGGCAAUUCGGGUAUGGCCAUGCAUGCAAGGGCCUCACGUGAAUGGGGUACCAACAAUUAAGAAAGAAAAGCCACAAUUUUUUUGUUUAUUGUGCAUGUGACUGUAAAGUCGUCAUACGAGAAUACAAUUCCUUUAAUGCAGUACAUACCCUGCCCAAAAUAUCAAACAAUCUAUAGGAUAUUUAUCAUUUUAUCGUCCACCCAUUGUCACACCCUUGAGGAUUACAUAGAUAGAAGAUUCAACCACAGUCAUCUUAUAAACUAUCUUGACAAUGUCUUAACUAGUUAACCAAAGUCUAUUUGAGCUUAAGGCUAUAUAUCUUUGGGAGACUUCAGGAAACUGUUAACUAAAAAACUAAUUUUUAGAUGAUAAAAAAUUAUAUUUAUUAAAAAUUUAUCCAAUAAGCUAGCGGAGAAAUAAAUUGACACAAAAGGAAUGUAGAAAAUGAUUCCAUAUUAUAAAACUAGUAUGUAAUACAUUACAUUAAAUAAAUUACUUACUAAAUACUAAUAGUCUCUGAUUAUUUACGUUGAAGUGAAAUUUCUUGCAUUUCAUGUUAUAUUCGUAAUAUUAUCAUGAAUUUAUCGCAUCUCACUGACUGAUUCUUCAUUUGUGUGCGUCUAUGUGGAUUCUAUUCUGUUAAAAAGCAUAGCAAUAUUAGUUUAUCAAGAAACUUUGUUGAAAAAAAAAACAAAACAAAAACAAAAGAAUAAUAAUAAUAAAACUAUUAUCACGGUUGUCAAAUACACAUUACAAAACCAGCCAACAUGCUAUCAACCAAACCAAAAAAGUUGGUUGUCAAUAUAUUUGAUAAUAAUCAAUAUGUUUGGUUGGUACUACUGUACCAAUUCUGUAAAUUUAGACAUUUGGUACGUUAAUAGUAUUAAAUUUUAAGUACAACAGUAUUACUGUACCAACGAUAAUAUAUANNNNNNNNNNNNNNNNNNNNNNNNNNNNNNNNNNNNNNNNNNNNNNNNNNNNNNNNNNNNNNNNNNNNNNNNNNNNNNNNGUUAACAUUAACUAAAAAGUUAUUUCAAAGUUAGUUAAUAAAAUUUAUUAGUAACUAAAAUAGUUAUUUUACUAAUUUAUAUUGAUAAAGAAAAUUAUUUCAUGUCAUUGAUGGUCUUAACUAUUACAAUUACAAAUUAGAAAAAAAAAAUGGUAAUGUAUCAUUACCAAUUUACAUCAACAAAACGUGUUGGUAGCCAAACAAGUUAGUAUAUUGGCAUGAUACUUAUAGCAACAUUUUUAUACCAACUGAAAUGUAUAAAAGGUAUGAUACAUGUUUUAAAUAAAAAUAAAUUGGUUGAUCCCUUAAUUACUAUAAAAGUUUAUUCACAUUGUUUGUAAAUUUACAAGUAAUGACAUACGGAGCCUUUUCACAAUUUUAAUUUUAUUAAAUUUGUUAUCAUAGUGUUUUUUAUAAGCACGAUAGACAUCUUGAGCUAUUUCAUUUAAUUUUACCAACACCAUAUAAUACAAAUUGCAGAUAGUCAUCAACUAAAUGUCGUGGGAAUUAAUUAGUCCGAGACACAUGAGAAUAGCCAAUGUUUUAAAUACCGGUUUUCUAAUUGAACCGGUCGGGUGACGUUUUCCGGUUCAACCGGUUUAACCGGUCCAACCGGAUGGUCAAACCGGCUCUAUAUUUUUAUAUGUUUUUUAAUUAUCCUACAUACAUUGAUUACAAAACUUGUUAUUUUUUUAGUAUUACAAACGUAAAUAGAAUGCAACAUAUAAAAACAAUCAUUAUAAAUGUCAAAAUCAAACAAAGAAGUCAAAACAAACACAAAAAUCCAAAAAUGUCUGGUUCAACCCGGUCCAUUCCGGUUCAAUUCAGCCGGUUGAACCGGUUUUUUUACCAAAAUCGGCCGGUUCAAUCCGGUCAGAAAAUCAUUAUAAAACCGGUCAAAAUCGAACCGCCCUCACCUCCGGUUCCCAGUUCGACCGGUUCAACCGGCCGGUUUGAACCGGUUUUUAAAACACUAAGAAUAGCAGAUGAUUAUGAAGAAGAUGAUAGACAACGACGGCGAUAUAUUUAGUUUCUCAUGUUUCCAACAUAAUUUUUUUUUAAACGACAAAAUAUAGUAAAGCAAAAAAGGCCACCGCCUAAGAGAAACUAGACGGGGCAAACAAACAAAAACAAAAGUUAAAAAAUAUUGAAAGGACAACAACACCAAUUACCCCAAUUGCAAUUCUUAUAAUUGUCCCUAUAUGUGACCUAAUUAUACACCAUAAUGAUGAUAUUAUCGUUGUUUUAGAAGAAGAAAGAGGAAUUUUUUUUUGAAGAGCUUAUCAUUCUUAACUUUCUAAACGUCCCAGAGAAAACCAUUAAAGAUGGCAAUUAAGAUCAUCCGUUUUCCGGGACAGAAUUUUGAAAAGUUAUCAGCAAUUUUGAAAGUUAACGAUAAUAAGUAUAUUAAUUAAAAGAGAAAUCAAAUCUACUUUUUUUUUGUUAUCUAUCUUCUUAUUUAUUAGAUCGGGGCUAAUAUUAAAAUUAAAAUUUAAAAUUAAUGAAUUUUAUAUGUCAUUAUUUUAUCUAAAAAGAAAAAUCUUUAAAACAAAAAGCAAGAUAUUUAAUUUUUCUAGUUAAAAAGAUGGAAUAUUCUUUUGGUAAAUUCCAUGUGAAGAUAAGCUAAGAGAUAUUUUAAAGAAAAUAUCAAAGCAGCAUAUGGACCAAGCAUGGCAAAAGACAUUUUUUGACAACCAGAAAGAUCUACAAGCAAAAGCAACUUUUGUCAUUUUGGAAGACGUACAUUCAAAAGAAAUUGUGUGGAUCUCGUACGUUGCCUAUCCUUUUGGGCAUAUCCGUUAGUGUAAAACUGCAAAAAACCUGUAUAUUCUGUUAUUUAUAAGAGGGAUGUGCAUCAAGCCAAGUUGCCAUUUUUAUAUCGUUUAUCAAUUUAGAGUAAACUGUUCCAAGACUAUUACAUUAAACUAGUUGAGGUGUAUAAUUUCAUAAAUGUUCAAAUCUUAUAUAUGCCUAAUAUAUAGUUAGUGUUAGUCUUAUACUCCUCCGUCUCAAAAUUAUUGUCCGGAGAAAAAAAAAAUAUACCGAUUAAGAAAACAUUAAUUACUAUUAACUUUAUUAAAUGAAAUGAUAGUCUUAUCCUUUUGUUAUAUUUAAUUUCAUUGUAAUUGCAUUUAAUUUCAUGGUAAUUUAACUAAUAAUGAUAGUAUUUUGGUAAAAAAAUAUAUAUUUAUUUUUAAAAUAGACUAUUAUUUUGUGACAAACUAAUAAGAAAACAAGAACUAAAAAUAUUUAAAAAAAAAUAAUUAGAAUAUCUAAAUAGUAAAUAUUAUGUGAUUUUUUUAGCCAACUUAUUUUCAAAUUAAACAAUAAAGUUCAUAUAUGGGCCGUUUUCCCUAGGCUAUCACUGAUGGCUCAUUAAAAAGGACACAUGAUCCAAAGAAAUAAGCCCACGUUAAUUCUUUUGGACAUAACACAUAGUUUCAGUACUCUUGUAAAUCAAAUUUGAAAGCCCAAGAAAGCUAUAAGGUUAUAUUCACAUUACCACAGCAAAUCUUGCAAGGGGUUUGCUUUGUCAAGAAUUGAGCACACCCUAAAUAAUAGAGUAAAUUACACGAAUGGUCCCUAUGGUUUGGGGUAAUUUGUAUGUUUGGUCCCUAACUUAUUUUUUUAACUCGGAAGGUCCCUAUGGUUUGUUUUUGUUACGCCUUUGAUCCCUACUGUUUAUUUUUGUUACGCGUUUGGUCCUUGUCUUAUCUAAAAAGACUAUUAUUUAAAGAGGAAAAAAUGGUGGGGUAGGUGAGGUAAGGUGAGGGGGUGGGAUUAGGGAUGUGCUUAUUUAAAUAAAUUAAAAAAAUCAAGGGCAUAAUAGUCUUUUUAGGUAAGAUAGGGACCAAGCGCGUAACAAAAGCAAACAGUAGGGACCUUCCGAGUUAAAAAAAUAAGUUAUGGACCAAACGCGCAAAUUACCCUAAACCAUAGGGACCAUUCGUGUAAUUUACUCUAAAUAAUAAUAAAAAAUAAUAAAAAAAUUAAAAAACUUAUAAACACACAGAUUUCCAACUUGAACGGUCUUUUUUUUCUCUUUUUUGCAAUUUAUAUAUUAUUAGUUUUAAAUUUAUAAACCUAACCUAUCUAAUUAACUAAUUGUACUUAAAGAGUCUGUCUAAUCAAUUUAUAUAACGGUUUAUGUAAGUCGGAUGUCGAACAUAGGGAAUGUAAUUUUAAUUUAAAAUCUAACUAUUAAUAAUUAAACUAAAAAAUAACUUGAGAUGGGUUUUUUUACUGAUUUUGCAAGCUCAUUAACUUAAUUCAAUCAAUUAUUAAAACAUAAACAAGCAAAGAAAACGAUUUGAAUUCAAUAUUAAUUAGUACUAUCGUUAGAUCCAAAUUUUCCCCUUUCCCUAUGGUUAUUUCUAUUGAAUUACUUAUGUUGGUUACCAAAUUAUUAUAUAACCAGUUAUUAUGAUUAAAUUCUUAGUUGUUACCAAUUUAUUACUUACUAUGUAAUGAUCAAACGCAAGUAAACACGAAAUUUAUAUAAAGAUAAAUUUGGCUAUGCACGAUAAAUCUAAAAGUUACUUUCCUAUAAUCAAGUCAAGAAACCAAACACAAAUUAUGAAUCAAUUAUUCUAUCUAACACAGUUAAACUUACUAACUUCAAUUACCUAACUCUAGCAUUUAAUGAUCAUAAACAACUAGAUAACAAAUUCAUGCAAAUAGAAUGAUCAUCUACGACACUAAGCUUGUAAAAAGGCAAUUUAAAGCUAGAACAUAGAUAUGUAAGGAUUACAAUUUAUCAACACUAGAAAAACCAACAUUGCAAUAUUAACCCUAAAAAUUAAAACAAUAUACAAAACAAUCCUGAUAGUAAAAGAUGUUAGGUAAGGAGUGAUAAAAUAAAUAUUUUUUCAACACCCCCGUUCAAACUUAAUAUCUAGAUAAUCCUGACCGUUACUAAAAUGAUCUGCAAGUCUAAUUCUUUUGAAAGAAAUUUAUGUUGUAAACUAAUCAAUGAUGUAGUAAGAAUAUCUGGAUUGAUUAGAAGAGAUAAUCUUAAUAUGUUUUAAAAUACUAUUCAUAACAUUUUCUCUAAUAAAAUGCAGAUCUAUCUUAAAGUGUUCAAUUUUUCAUAAAAUACAAGAUGUUGAACAAUUUUGAUUGCAAAAUUGUUUCAUAGAAAACAUUAAUUGUAACGUCCCAAAAUUUAAGACUAAAAAUUUCAUUUUUAUAAUAAUAAAACCAUCCUCCAAGACAUUUUCAUCAAAACCAUAAUGAAAUCAGAGUAUAUCAAUAAUCAUACAGUUACAUCAGAGUCAAAUAAAAUGCCGAAUAAUAUGGUGUGUGCGAUGCAAUCAUCCCGAGCUCUUCCCAUUCGAUCCGGAAGUACCUAAAACAUACAAUGAAAAUCGUAAGCAUGAAGCUUAGUGAGUUCCCUAAGAUACCUCAUAUCAUGCAUAUCAAACAUACAAUGGGCCAUCCCCAACACCCAUCGGGCCCCGCCCGACAUCGAGCCCUGCUCAGAACAGAUCUGUUAAAAAUAUGAGAUGGGUCCCGCCUCAUCACAUUCAUCAAGCCCCACUUGGCAUCGAUUCCUGUCCGGAAUUCAUACAGACACAUAAAACACAUGCAAGAAUCACUAAGAUAAUUAGCAUACAAUACAUUCAUCAGGCCCCACCUGGCAUCGAACCCCGCCCGGUAUACAUAUCACAUAACAUACAUGCAAGAGUCACACAAAAAACUAACAUUCUAAUCAUAAUAAACCAUGGGCCGAUAUUGUUGCCUUCGACCUGCCAAGUAGAGUGAGGAAACUCACCUCAAGCUAUUAAAUAUCUCACAUAAAAACUCGGACUGCUGAUCUGGAAAAUCCUCGCGCUAGCACCAUCAAAUAAUACCUAAUUAAUAAUCAGUCCACAACCCAUAACUUGGAAUUCUAGUCCAAUUUUCCGACCCUCAGGGUAAAAGACCAUUUUACCAUUUCCUUACUUGGCCCUAAAAUCCAAGGCCCAAUUCAAUAGUACCAAAAAGUCCAAUAUAGCCCAAUGCUCUAAAAGUUUCCCAAAACCCAUUAUGGGCGCAAACACUAGAAGGCCCAGAGCCCAGCAAUGCCUAAAGUGAAAAGGGUUGAUAGCCCAACAACGCCCAAACUCCAUUAGCCCGAAAAAAACCCAAAGUCGCAAAAGCCUAAACCAGGCCUAGUACGUUGUUCAUACCAGACAUAUACCCGACGUACUAGGUUGCAUGCAUGGUCGCGGACACGGGCGUGUACGCAUGGCGUACUCUUGAGUACGCCCAGCAUACGUGCCUAUUAAGCACUUUUUUCUUAAGUGCUUAAUACUUGCAUUACAACAUCCAAAUUUCAAAUCCAUGUCUAAAUGAACGUCUUAAUCUAUAAAUUUGAAGCCUUUAAGCCUUUGCAUGGCUAAAAAUGCCCCAAAUUCAAAUCUAGCAUUUUAACUCCAUUAAGAAGAACGUCAACCUUUCAUGGUUGAGCUAAACCCAUCAAGCUAUUAUUUUUAUGUAUAAGGGACCUCAGAAAAGCCAAGAUCUAUCAUCCCAAGCUUCUGGAGUAGCCCAUACUCUCAAGCAUGGCUUAAAGGACCCAAAAACACACAAAGAAAGCCCUUAACUAGAUCUAUCAUAAAGAACCAUCAAGUUAGGAGCUUUAUACCUCAAAUAGCUUGCAAAGUUGAUGAUGAUUCUGGAUCUUAAAGCUCCAAGUCCACCAAACCUUCACCACCAAGCUUCACUUUCUUUAAGAGACCCAUAAACACCACAAGAUCACACAAAGGCUCACAAAAUCUCAAAUAAGGGCUAAGGUUUCUUUCUUAGGGUUUGGAGAAGUAGAGGCUGACCAUAAGAAUCUCCCAAAGCAACAUAAGUUGACUAAAUAGGGCAUAAACCCUUAAAACUAGUGUUUGCCCUUGAUGAGCAUACGCCCAAUGUAUGUGGGUGCCUCCGAGUCCAACCAUCGAUCCAGUACGCCUAACGUACUCACAGAGUACACUCAACGUACUCGGUUAGGGACCAAAAUGAAAGGAAUUUACAAUGAAGGGAUAAAAGGGAAAAACCUGAAAUGCAGUGUUACAUUAUGUGACAUCUCUAAUUUCACAACCAAAAAAGACCGAUUUGUUUAUGCUUUAUUUGAAAAUUAGCUACGAAAUUUGCUUUACUAGGGUGGUAAAGUAUCUCGUAUUCGUAAUCCUUGAGUAACUCUAGCCAGCGUCGUUGCCUCAUAUUCAAUUCCUUUUGAUCAAAGAGAUAUUGGAGACUUUUUAUGAUCAGUGAAGAGUUUGCACUUUGUGCCAUAUAGAUAAUGCCUCCAUAUCUUUAAUGCGAAUACUACCGCUGCCAACUCUAGAUCAUGAGUGGGGUAGUUCUUCUCGUGCUUUUUUAAUUUUCGAGAUGCAUAUGCUAUCACUUUAUUUCUCUGGGUCAGAACACAACCUAACCUAACUCCAGAUGCAUCGCUAUAGACAGUGAAGUCUUCAACUCCGUCAGGUAAAGAAAGAAUUUGUGCUUUACACAACUUCAUCUUUAAUUUCUCGAAUGAUUCUUCAUGUUUCUCACUCCAUGUAUAGGUAGAUCCUUUAUGGGUCAAAGUUGUUAAUGAUGCAGCUGUCGAAGAAAAGCCUUGGAUAAAUCUUUGGUAAUAUCCAACUAAUCCCAUAAAGCUUCAAUUCUCGGUGGGACUUUUUGGUCAUUCCCAUUUCAUCACAACUUCAAUAUUUAUUGGGUCAACCAUUAUUCCCUCUUUGUUAACCACAUGACCCAAUAAAUGGACUUCUUGAAUCCAGAAAUCACAUUUGGAGAACUUUGCAUACAACUUCUCCUUAUUUAGAACUUCUAAUACUUCUCGCGGGUGCUUUUCAUGCUCCUGCUGGCUCUUUGAGUAAAUCAGAAUGUCAUCUAUGAACACUAUCAUAGAUUUAUCGAGGAAUGCUUUACAAACUCUGUUAAUCAAAUCCAUAAAUGUUUUUGGAGCAUUGGUUAGUCCAAAUGACAUAACCAAGAACUCAUAGUGUUCGUAUCUUGUUCUGAAUGCGGUCUUCUCAAUAUCUUGUUCUCUCACCUUCAGCUAAUGAUAUCCUGACCUGAGAUCGAUUUUUGAGAAAUAACUUGAACCUUGCAGCUGAUCGAACAGGUCGUCAAUCCUUAGCAAUGGAUACUUGUUAUUUACUGUUGCCUUGUUCAACUCUCUAUAGUCUAUGCACGUCCUCAUGCUUCCAUCCUUCUUCUUCACAAAUAACAUUGGAGCUCUCCACGGUGAUGAACUAGGUCUAAUGAAACCGUUGUCCAAAAACUCCUGAAGUUGCAUCAUAAGCUCCUUCAUCUCUAUUGGUGCUAACUGGUAUGGUGCUUUCACUAUUGCUUUCGAUCCUGGCAACAAGUCGAUUCAAGACUCUACUUGUCUAUUAGGGGGCAAUCCAAGAAGAUCUCCGAGAAAGACUUCCGGAUAGUCACACACCACUGGUAUUCUUUGUAUCUCUUUCUUUUCCUUCUUUGCAUUGAUCACAAAUUCCAAGUAUGAUGUGCGUCCUUUGAACAAACACUUUUUGGCUUUCAUCAGGAAAAUGAUUCCAAAAUUCACUCUAUGUUUGUCCUUGUACACCAUAAAUGACUCUUUUUUAGGUGGAUUUACUCUCACCAUAUUUUUCUUACAUAGUAUAUCGGUAUCGUUCGCACUAAGCCGAUCCAUUUUCUAGUACAAUGUUGAAAUCAUUUAACUCAAUGGGCAACAACUCCUCGCGGAAUUUAUUCCCACUCAAGUUGAUGAUGAUGUUUUCAAUGCAAUCGCUAACAGUUAUGAAUUUGCCACUGGCAAGUUCUACAACUAGAGCAUUAUCAAGUUUAUCUAUAGGCAAUGCUAGUCUUCCACCAAAUUUGUGAGAUAUAAAGGAUUAAUUUUCUCCAGAGUCAAACAAUAUAUUGGCUGUUAAUCCAUUUACGAGAAAGGUACUUGAAGCGACAUAUGAUUCAUCCAUUGCUGCUUCUAGGGUCAUCUGGAAUGCUCUUGCUUUUGGCCUUGGCGGAAUAUUAGGCCUUGCUACCUCCUUCUUCUUCGGGCAGUCCCUAGAAAUAUGCCCUUCUUUGUUACAUCCGAGACGCACCUUAUUGUUGAAUGUGCACUCAUAGGCGUAAUGCCCAGACUUUCCACACUUGAAAUAGGUUACCUCCUCGCUAGAUUUUCCAAAGUAUUUCUUCUUGCACUUAUCGCACCAUCUUGCUUCACCUCCUCCUCCUCCGAACUUCUUCGAACCAGACUCUGAGAAUUUUCUCUUCUUGUUGGACCUUGAAGAUCCUUCAAACUUUCUCUUCUCGCCAACUUCAACCUUGUUGGUGUCUCUACUCUUUAUCAUCUCCUCAAAUGAAUUAGCAGCCCAGAUGGCCGCCUCAAGAGUAGGUUUCUGGCAUACUGGCACAACAUACUCCCAUGGUAGUCCCUUUGUAUACUUAUCGACUUUCGUUAGUUUAUUAGGGACGAUGCACAAACCAAACUCCAUCUUGUCUGUGAAGGCAUUGGUAUAAUCGUCAAUGGAUAUGUUGCCCUUCUUCAAUGUAAGAAAUUGGUUUUCUAGUUCCAACAUGUUUUGGGUUGAGAAGAACUUGCGUUUAAAGUGGACCAAGAACUUUUCCAAUGUCAAUUGUAGUGGCUCAUUAGGACUUAUGGUCUUCCAAGGUGUUCCACUAGCGAACAGUACCACCUCUAAACUAACGCACUAAAUAAGUGGUUUGUAGCUUACCCUUUCAACCACAAGUUAUGAAAGCUAGCUUAAUUUCAGAGAUCUAGACCACAACUUCGAUUAGAUCUACUUUCCCAGUAAAAGUUGGUGGUUUGCAAGUCAUGAAGUCUUUGUAGUUGCAUCCAUUUCUUUCAAUCCCUUCGUCUUGGUUAUUUCUUCUAACCACUGGUGUUUCAUCUUGGCCAAUGGUUUUACUAUAGUUUCCUUCUUCUGACUGACCCUCAUUCAGCUCAGGUUGUUCAACAGCCACAGUAGGUUCAUCCAUAUUCUGUUGAAGUAGACACCUUGUCUCUUCCAUCUGACGAUCCAACAUCUUUUGAAUCAUUUCUUGUACUCCUGCCAUAGUGAUUGGCUUGGGUGCAGCCACUACCUCUGGUGCAUGCUCAAUCACAGGCUGUUGAUUAGCAUUAGCAUUUCCAUUAGCUUUUCUGAAUCCGAUUCAGGUUCUUUCCAUGUUGAUCUAUACACCAAUGUAGGUGAAUUUAGAUCUUUAUUUAUGAUAGAUGUUUAAAUCCUUCUUGUCACUCCGAAAAGUAACAUGUCGGUUCUAAUAUCGUAGUCGAACACUUAGAAAUCUGAACACAUAAAGUUUCCAGAUCCGGUCGGCAAUAGACCAUAGAUCCAAUCAAAUAAUAGCAUAUAAGGUAUCUCUAUAGCUAUAACAUAAAUCAUUUAGCAUAUAAAAGCAAUUUAGGCAUCUUUCCUAAAAUAAGCUAGUGCUUGUGUCUAAAAUAUAGCAGACACUUACCUCACAAUCAUUGCUUAGCAUUCUAAGUUUAAGUCUUGAAAUCCUACAAAUUCCUAGUUCUUUUAAACUAAUGCCCUGAUAUCAACUGUGACAUCCCCAAUUUCACGGUCAGAAAAGACCGAUUUGUUUAUGAUUUAUUUGAAAAUCAGAGUAUACUUUUAAAGAAAUAUGUUGCGGAAUUUGUUCCCAAAAAUAUGAUAAGUAAAUUAUUAAAGCAUUACCAAAAGAAUGUGUUUUCAUUAUAUUAAAAACACUGGGAUGUCAUAGUCAAUACAAUACAUAAGCAUAAACCGAAAUAGUACAGGCCUUACGACAUCUACUAUUCUAAUAGCUUAUAAUCCAUAGAUCUCUCAUCAGAGCAACACUUAUGUGCUCUUUUUCCACUACCUAUAAUGCAAGAAACUGAGUGGGUCAUGCUUGGGAGCCUGGUGAGCACAUAGGAUUUUCAGCCCACAAUAAUUAAGUUUUUUAAUUCAUCAAAUCGUUCAACCCGAUUACUCGUUCCCGUUAUCCUCACUUUCUGUCUCUAAAGCAUCUAAUCCAAGGGACCUAGCAUAUGGAUCAUCAUCGGGAUGACAAUACUGCUUAGGGGAUUCCUCAACAAUAUGUGUCAGUAAGGCAACCAUGAGGGGGAUGGAGUACACCGGUGAACACAUCGUUCACAAACACCUACAAGUUGCGAGCUUACCAGCGUUCCACUAGAUUGUCUACAAUAGUCCAUGGUCAUCAUCUAUACUCCACUAGAUUGCUAAAUCAGCUUAAACAUCGAGGCCUCUCAUCAUUUUAUUUCAUCGCUCAUCAUCUAUUUCAUCUACCCAUCUUUCCUAACAUAAUGAUAGGUAUAAAAUACAUAUACAAAUUAAAUCAAGUAAAAACAUGUAUACAUCGUUCAUCCAUCAUAGAUAUCAAGAACACAGAUAAUACGCACAUAUAACACGUAAUUUAUAUAAAAUACUUCAUAUCUGUGUAUAAGAUGAAAGUAACUAUUGUUAAAGUGAUGACUCCAAACUCGGACAACGUUUCGCUUCUAACAAUCUUAAUUUUCUUCUACAAAACCUAGGAUCAUUAUCACUAUAUCUUAGUCUACUAUUCAUUGCGACUAAUUAUUAGUCUAGAUAAUAUUGUUUUUCUUGUAUUAUAUAUAUAUAUAUAUAUAUAUAUACACACACUCACACAAACUUUAUAUAAAAGUCUAUCAUUUAUAUAAAGUGAUUCAUUAUAUAAAUAACAUAUAAGUAGCCUUAUAUGUAUAAUUGUCUCUUUUAUAUAAAUUACAUUUUAUAUAUAAAUAAACUCUAACUAGUUUAUAAAGAUAUAAAUAUAACUUAUAAAUAAUCAUAUUUUUUGAUAUAUUUCAUAAGUUGUUAUUUCUCCAAUAAAUAUUAUUUUCAUAAAUAAUAAAUUCUCAAUUAGUAAAAUAUUAUUUCCAUGAAAUAAUUUUCCAAUUUAAAUACUAGUGUUGAUAUAUUUAUUAAUAAUAAAAUUAUACUAAUAAAUAAUCAAUCGAUCGUAACUUGUUAUAGGGUGUGACCAUAUAUGAUCAUAUGUUAUCAUCAAUAUCAUUCUAUAAUGACUCUUGGACAUACAAGCUCUUUCAAAUCUUAUCUACGAGAGAAAAAGUUUCUUGAUAAUCAACUUCUUCUCUCUGAUUAUAAGUGCUAUAAUUGAGUAUAAUUUUUCAAAGUACAAUGUCCUAAUAAGAAAAUAUUGAAUGUAUGAUAUUGCAUUUGUGUAGAUUUUAAUUAAUUAAAUAGGUUAUUUGUUACCCGAUUUCAUUAAAAAAACUGUUUAGUUCAUCCCCAUUUGGAUAGAAGCAUCCAGGUAGGGUUAGAAUUAAAUAAUGAGUGUUGAUGUGGUUUUAGUUCAUCCCAUCUUUGGUUUCACCGACAAGUUCAUCUUGAAAACUUCCUCCUAAUCUAAUCUUUAACAGUGAAAAGGUUGCAUAAAAAAGUUUGACUUUGGGGUCAAAGGACCUGGUUUCUCCUUAAAAGAUUAUUAGAAUUUUUUUGUUGUAGUUUAUCAGUUACGAAUUACGUUUAAUGAUAUAGAGAUUGCUAGCAAACUAAAACACUUUUAGAGCCAAAUAACUAGAGAUUUAUAUCAUCUUCUAAUUUGAAAAUUACUAGGUCUGACACUACUAGAAACUUGACCUUCAGUGACGGAAGUAGAGAUAGAUUCUAUCUGUAGCAAAUCAGCGACGACUUACCGAUGGAUCAGCGACGGAACUCACUAAUAUUUCGACCAAAAUAUUUAUAGACUUUUAGAGAGGUAUUACCAAUAGAUCAAUGACUGAUUUGUAAGAAUUUAGCGACAAAAAAUGUUUCCUCACUAAUCUGUUGCAAAUUAAAACCUCCUUGCUAGGGAACAACGACGGAUUACUAAAAUCACACACCUUUUUUUGGGCCUUCGCUAAUCUCUUUCAGAAAAUCAACAAAUCUUUUUUUCAUUCCCUGCUUUUCUUUCUUGUUACGUUCCCUCCUUUUAUUUUCAUUUCCGCUUUUCAUUUUUUUUUGUUUUAAUUCCUUCUAUCUUCUUCCCAAAGCUCUAAACAAUUUCAUCCCAAAUCCAUAAUUUAAUCUCUGUCCACUGAAAUCCCUCCUCUACCCAAAAAAUCACCUCCACCACCUUCCACCUACAUCGACCCUAUUUGAAGACCUCAAAAAUCAAAUCAUUGUUGGAUUUCCUCUUUGUCUAUCUGCCUUUCUCGUUGAUUCACUUUUCCCCUGUUAAUGUCAUUCGAUCUGAUGGUUUAUCCUCGAUCGUAAACACGAGUAAAUCUCAUGUAGUCUUCAUCAACUUCUAAUUUUGGUUUCUAGUAGUGUGUAUGUUCCAUUUCCAUGUAGCUCUUACUUCUCUUUCACUUUUUAGUUCAAUUCACAAGUUGUUUUUCUAAGCCUUACUUUC